GGGCCCGCACAAGCGGUGGAGUAUGUGGUUUAAUUCGAUGCAACGCGAAGAACCUUACCAGGGUUUGACAUCCUGCGAAUCUCUUGGAAACGAGAGAGUGCCUUCGGGAACGCAGUGACAGGUGGUGCAUGGCUGUCGUCAGCUCGUGUCGUGAGAUGUUGGGUUAAGUCCCGCAACGAGCGCAACCCACGUCUUUAGUUGCCAGCAUUUAGUUGGGCACUCUAGAGAGACCGCCGGUGAUAAACCGGAGGAAGGUGUGGAUGACGUCAAGUCAUCAUGCCCCUUACAUCCUGGGCUACACACGUACUACAAUGGUAUCUACAACAGGAAGCAAGACGGCGACGUUUAG
This 349-nucleotide ribosomal RNA is filed under the name uncultured bacterium. RNAcentral's name for it is "bacterial SSU rRNA". It matches the Rfam family "Bacterial small subunit ribosomal RNA", at positions 917 to 1267 of the family's 1533-position model. The record is from RNAcentral.